RNAcentral lists this ribosomal RNA (339 nucleotides) under Lysinibacillus fusiformis. Its description in RNAcentral is "23S rRNA. Bacterial LSU". It matches the Rfam family "Bacterial large subunit ribosomal RNA", at positions 2586 to 2925 of the family's 2925-position model. Lineage: Bacteria; Bacillati; Bacillota; Bacilli; Caryophanales; Bacillaceae. The record is from RNAcentral. RNAcentral also lists the same sequence under 1 other name.
CAUUAAAGCGGUACGCGAGCUGGGUUCAGAACGUCGUGAGACAGUUCGGUCCCUAUCCGUCGUGGGCGUAGGAAAUUUGAGAGGAGCUGUCCUUAGUACGAGAGGACCGGGAUGGACACACCGCUGGUGUACCAGUUGUCUUGCCAAAGGCAUCGCUGGGUAGCUAUGUGUGGACGGGAUAAGUGCUGAAAGCAUCUAAGCAUGAAGCCCCCCUCAAGAUGAGAUUUCCCAUUACGCAAGUAAGUAAGAUCCCUCAAAGACGAUGAGGUAGAUAGGUUCGAGGUGGAAGUGUGGUGACACAUGGAGCUGACGAAUACUAAUCGAUCGAGGACUUAACCA